RNAcentral lists this ribosomal RNA (154 nucleotides) under Heterorhabditis sp. ePY14.2TH. Its description in RNAcentral is "5.8S ribosomal RNA". It matches the Rfam family "5.8S ribosomal RNA". Rfam says of the family: 5.8S ribosomal RNA (5.8S rRNA) is a component of the large subunit of the eukaryotic ribosome. It is transcribed by RNA polymerase I as part of the 45S precursor that also contains 18S and 28S rRNA. Functionally, it is thought that 5.8S rRNA may be involved in ribosome translocation. Lineage: Eukaryota; Metazoa; Nematoda; Chromadorea; Rhabditida; Heterorhabditidae. The record is from RNAcentral.
AUAACUUAUCAGCUUAUGUGUUGGAUCGGUUGAUUCGUAGAUCGAUGAAAAACGCAGCUAGCUGCGUUAUAUACCACGAAUUGCUUAAAAAUUGAGUGGUAAAAUUUUGAACGCAUAGCGCCACAGGGUUUACUCUGUGGCACGCCUGGUUCAG